RNAcentral lists this long non-coding RNA (709 nucleotides) under Olea europaea (common olive). Its description in RNAcentral is "long non-coding RNA (OEUR_LNC015007)". The record is from RNAcentral. Lineage: Eukaryota; Viridiplantae; Streptophyta; Magnoliopsida; Lamiales; Oleaceae.
UUGUCUUUAACCAUUGGCGCCGACGUUGGCAUUACCUCCACCGCGAACAGCCGACGACUAUACUCCUUCCACCCUUCAUCCACCUCCUAAAAAUUACACAGUCUCCUCCAUAGACCUGAUUGUGCAAAUGAGUCACCAAAUUGAGAAAGCCUACAGUCGGCCACAACUCCCUUUUUUACUACACCUAUGUUGGCAGCCACCAAAUGGACUCUUCUCGAGUAUCCCAUUUCAAUUUGAUGCAUCCAGCACGCUCCAAGCCAUGAAUUCAAUUGGAAAAAAUGCAAUUCGGGUCCUAAAAACUAUCGAAAACACACCAAUUGAAUUUCCAAUUCGUGACUCCCACGAAUUCAAAUAAUCCCACCGAACCCGAAGACCAACAUUUGAAGUUUGAUAGUGCAAAAACUUCUCACCAAAUUUCCACUAAAAACUAAAUUUAGCUAGAGACUUGAGAUAGCGGGAGAGAGAUGUGAGGACUUUGACGAGAAGAGUAAAAUUUGGGCCAAGAUUUGAAGUUGAAAUCAUACCAUUAGAGCUGGUUGUGGCAGUCGUGUCUAAUUAGUUUUUUGGUCCUUCUUAGGCGAGUCUUUGGAAUAUGAAGUUUCGGCCUCUAUAUUAGUUUGGUGUUGGACAAGUGAUAAUGGUAUCGACAAGUGGAGCUCUGGGUUGAAAAGCCAAUUUCUGUUGGUGCCGGUGGUAAGAGACGAGUGGG